CAGCCGCGCGGUAAUACGUAGGUGGCAAGCGUUGUCCGGAAUUAUUGGGCGUAAAGGGCUCGCAGGCGGUUUCUUAAGUCUGAUGUGAAAGCCCCCGGCUCAACCGGGGAGGGUCAUUGGAAACUGGGAAACUUGAGUGCAGAAGAGGAGAGUGGAAUUCCACGUGUAGCGGUGAAAUGCGUAGAGAUGUGGAGGAACACCAGUGGCGAAGGCGACUCUCUGGUCUGUAACUGACGCUGAGGAGCGAAAGCGUGGGGAGCGAACAGGAUUAGAUACCCGUGUAGUCCCUGUCUCUUAUACA
Molecule: ribosomal RNA, 301 nt
Filed under: uncultured bacterium
Lineage: Bacteria
Description: partial 16S ribosomal RNA
Rfam family: Bacterial small subunit ribosomal RNA
Source: RNAcentral